CUUAAGCCAUGCAUGUGUAAGUACAAACUAAAAAAAAAGUGAAACCGCGAAUGGCUCAUUAAAUCAGCUAUUAUUUAUUGGGUGUACCACUAAUAUAAAAGUUACUUGGAUAACUGUGGUAAUUCUAGAGCUAAUACAUGCACAUAUAGUCCCUCGAAGAAACCUUUAAAUACAUCAAGUAUGAUUUUUAGGUGCUUCAACAGGGCGCUUUUAUUAGUAUCAAAACCGGUAUUUUCGGGCUUCGGUCCGUAAAACCCUAGUAUGAUGACUCUGGAUAAUUUUGAGCUGAGCGCACAGUCUUUUGCACUGGCGCCGCUUCUUUCAAGUGUCUGCCUUAUCAGCUGUCGAUUGUAGGUUAUGUGCCUACAAUGGCUAUAACGGGUAACGGGGAAUCAGGGUUCGAUUCCGGAGAGGGAGCCUGAGAAACGGCUACCACAUCUAAGGAAGGCAGCAGGCACGCAAAUUACCCACUCCCAGCUUGGGGAGGUAGUGACGAAAAAUAACGAUGCGAGACUCAUCCGAGGCCUCGCAAUCGGAAUGAGUACACUUUAAAUCCUUUUGCGAGGAUCAAUUGGAGGGCAAGUCUGGUGCCAGCAGCCGCGGUAAUUCCAGCUCCAAUGGCAUAUAUUAAAGUUGUUGCGGUUAAAAUGCUCGUAGUUGGCUUUUUAACACUGUAGCUGAUGGUUGGCUGUAAAUCCUUUAAUUGGUAGGCUAAUCGAACAUGCUCAGUGAUUGCCGCGACAACUUAAAAAUUGUUUGGCUUUUUGGCUGGCUCGCACGGGAUGCUCUUUAUUGAGUGUCCCGAGUGGCUGGUAUGUUUACUUUGAAAAAAUUAG
Molecule: ribosomal RNA, 836 nt
Filed under: Phylladiorhynchus acastus
Lineage: Eukaryota; Metazoa; Arthropoda; Malacostraca; Decapoda; Galatheidae
Description: SSU rRNA
Rfam family: Eukaryotic small subunit ribosomal RNA
Source: RNAcentral